This 336-nucleotide ribosomal RNA is filed under the name Triticum aestivum (bread wheat). Its description in RNAcentral is "partial small subunit ribosomal RNA". Lineage: Eukaryota; Viridiplantae; Streptophyta; Magnoliopsida; Poales; Poaceae. The record is from RNAcentral.
AUGAGCGAAUCAAGCUCUCCACCACGGAAAAAAGGGCCAAAACAGGACAGAGCUACAUGGAAUAAUGGUCGCACUGGUUUUUUUGUGUCAAUGAUGAAAGAGUAUGCAGAUGUGGGAAGGUACCGUGGCCAAAAUGGGUGGACCAAGGAAGGAUGGCAAGCUAUGAAAAACCGCCUUCAUGAGAGGCAUCCUGGAACUAAUUUCACUGUUCAACAGCUGAAAGAUAGAGAGCAAAGGGUGAAGAAGGAACUUAAUGUUGUCAAGUCUAUUGUAGAAAAGAGUGGUUUUGGUUGGGAUCCUUGUUGGAAAUAUGCCCUAGAGGCAAUAAUAAAUUAG